This 320-nucleotide long non-coding RNA is filed under the name Anas platyrhynchos platyrhynchos (common mallard). Its description in RNAcentral is "lncRNA (ENSAPLG00000023250.1)". The record is from RNAcentral. Lineage: Eukaryota; Metazoa; Chordata; Aves; Anseriformes; Anatidae.
UGUUUUUGUUUUUGUUUUGCUAUUUUUAUUCCUGUUGUUACUGUUGUUACUGUUAUUACUAUUCUUUUCCCCUCCUAUAGUUUCUUAUUUCCCAUACCUCCUACUGAGGAGGUGACGGAUCAUCUGCCUCUGAAGGUAACAACACAGCUAUGCAAAACAGCUUAGCCCAUGGAGGCUGCAAGGAUUCCAUCAGCUAUCACUACUUUUGCAUAAAAAAGGUAUCUCGAAAGUAUGUCACUGUGAGUCAUAUUCCAAAUACUGGAAGAAUGCUGAUGGCACUAGUGAAAUCCAGAACUGAAGCUGCAGUGCUCUCAAGCUGA